UGGGGAAUAUUGGACAAUGGGCGAAAGCCUGAUCCAGCCAUGCCGCGUGUGUGAAGAAGGUCUUCGGAUUGUAAAGCACUUUAAGUUGGGAGGAAGGGCCAUUACCUAAUACGUGAUGGUUUUGACGUUACCGACAGAAUAAGCACCGGCUAACUCUGUGCCAGCAGCCGCGGUAAUACAGAGGGUGCAAGCGUUAAUCGGAAUUACUGGGCGUAAAGCGCGCGUAGGUGGUUUGUUAAGUUGGAUGUGAAAUCCCCGGGCUCAACCUGGGAACUGCAUUCAAAACUGACUGACUAGAGUAUGGUAGAGGGUGGUGGAAUUUCCUGUGUAGCGGUGAAAUGCGUAGAUAUAGGAAGGAACACCAGUGGCGAAGGCGACCACCUGGACUGAUACUGACACUGAGGUGCGAAAGCGUGGGGAGCAAACAGGAUUAGAUACCCAGUAGUCCCUGAGCGGGCUGGCAAGGCGCAU
This 471-nucleotide ribosomal RNA is filed under the name uncultured bacterium. Its description in RNAcentral is "bacterial SSU rRNA". It matches the Rfam family "Bacterial small subunit ribosomal RNA", at positions 355 to 825 of the family's 1533-position model. The record is from RNAcentral.